Non-coding RNA from Biomphalaria pfeifferi, 216 nucleotides. The record is from the annotation of a GenBank genome assembly. Lineage: Eukaryota; Metazoa; Mollusca; Gastropoda; Planorbidae.
AUUGUUAAGACAGUUGAGCUUUAAAGAUUUUAAUAUUCUUUUUGAGUAUAUUUCAUGUUUGAAUUUUUUUUUGACUUUUUUUUUCCAGAGUAUUCAAGUAGGUAAAUUAUAGUCAUCUUCUUAUGUGAAGGAAAGUCUGCCAUGUAUAAGAUAAAUAGAUAUUUUUUUUAAAGAAAGUGUUAUUGAAUUAUUUUGGAAGACAUGAGAGAGAGAGAG